Molecule: ribosomal RNA, 253 nt
Filed under: uncultured bacterium
Lineage: Bacteria
Description: partial 16S ribosomal RNA
Rfam family: Bacterial small subunit ribosomal RNA
Source: RNAcentral
UACGAAGGGGGCGAGCGUUGUUCGGAAUUACUGGGCGUAAAGGGCGCGUAGGCGGUCCUUCAAGUCAGGCGUGAAAGCCCCGGGCUCAACCUGGGAACCGCGCUUGAGACUGGCGGACUCGAGUUCGGGAGAGGAUGGUGGAAUUCCCAGUGUAGAGGUGAAAUUCGUAGAUAUUGGGAAGAACACCGAUGGCGAAGGCAGCCAUCUGGACCGACACUGACGCUGAGGCGCGAAGGCGUGGGGAGCAAACAGG